Mauremys reevesii (Reeves's turtle) is the source of this 260-nucleotide long non-coding RNA. RefSeq lists it as uncharacterized. NCBI's taxonomy places the organism in Eukaryota, Metazoa, Chordata, Testudines, Geoemydidae. The record is from RefSeq and is a predicted model, not a curated record. The transcript is spliced from 3 exons.
CGCCCUGCCUCACACCUACAGUACCCCACAGCAACAAGAGAGCUUAGUGACAUGAAAAGAAUGGAACAUGACAACAGCAAAGACGACGACAGUGGAGACACCUCUGAAGAAAUGCCCUAGAGCCCUUGGGCCGUCACGCUUCAGGAAUGUGCGUGAGGUGCUAGGAGACCUGGAGAUGGGGGGUGUCCUGCUGGCCGUAGCCACUUUCGGUCUCCUGGCUUCUACCCUCUACCCUACUGGCAGGGCAUUGUGCAGCACCC